Molecule: ribosomal RNA, 1352 nt
Filed under: uncultured bacterium
Lineage: Bacteria
Description: bacterial SSU rRNA
Rfam family: Bacterial small subunit ribosomal RNA
Source: RNAcentral
AUGAACGCUGGCGGCGUGCUUAACACAUGCAAGUCGAACGGUGAAGGAGAGCUUGCUCUCUGGAUCAGUGGCGAACGGGUGAGUAACACGUGAGCAAUCUGCUCCUGACUCUGGGAUAAGCGCUGGAAACGGCGUCUAAUACCGGAUACGAGCUGCGAAGGCAUCUUCAGCAGUUGGAAAGAAUUUCGGUCAGGGAUGAGCUCGCGGCCUAUCAGCUUGUUGGUGAGGUAACGGCUCACCAAGGCGUCGACGGGUAGCCGGCCUGAGAGGGUGACCGGCCACACUGGGACUGAGACACGGCCCAGACUCCUACGGGAGGCAGCAGUGGGGAAUAUUGCACAAUGGGCGCAAGCCUGAUGCAGCAACGCCGCGUGAGGGACGACGGCCUUCGGGUUGUAAACCUCUUUUAGCAGGGAAGAAGCGAAAGUGACGGUACCUGCAGAAAAAGCACCGGCUAACUACGUGCCAGCAGCCGCGGUAAUACGUAGGGUGCAAGCGUUAUCCGGAAUUAUUGGGCGUAAAGAGCUCGUAGGCGGUUUGUCGCGUCUGCUGUGAAAACCCGAGGCUCAACCUCGGGCCUGCAGUGGGUACGGGCAGACUAGAGUGCGGUAGGGGAGAUUGGAAUUCCUGGUGUAGCGGUGGAAUGCGCAGAUAUCAGGAGGAACACCGAUGGCGAAGGCAGAUCUCUGGGCCGUAACUGACGCUGAGGAGCGAAAGGGUGGGGAGCAAACAGGCUUAGAUACCCUGGUAGUCCACCCCGUAAACGUUGGGAACUAGUUGUGGGGUCCAUUCCACGGAUUCCGUGACGCAGCUAACGCAUUAAGUUCCCCGCCUGGGGAGUACGGCCGCAAGGCUAAAACUCAAAGGAAUUGACGGGGACCCGCACAAGCGGCGGAGCAUGCGGAUUAAUUCGAUGCAACGCGAAGAACCUUACCAAGGCUUGACAUAUAGAGGAAACGUCUGGAAACAGUCGCCCCGCAAGGUCUCUAUACAGGUGGUGCAUGGUUGUCGUCAGCUCGUGUCGUGAGAUGUUGGGUUAAGUCCCGCAACGAGCGCAACCCUCGUUCUAUGUUGCCAGCACGUAAUGGUGGGAACUCAUGGGAUACUGCCGGGGUCAACUCGGAGGAAGGUGGGGAUGACGUCAAAUCAUCAUGCCCCUUAUGUCUUGGGCUUCACGCAUGCUACAAUGGCCGGUACAAAGGGCUGCAAUACCGUGAGGUGGAGCGAAUCCCAAAAAGCCGGUCCCAGUUCGGAUUGAGGUCUGCAACUCGACCUCAUGAAGUCGGAGUCGCUAGUAAUCGCAGAUCAGCAACGCUGCGGUGAAUACGUUCCCGGGUCUUGUACACACCGCC